AUGGCUGUCGUCAGCUCGUGUCGUGAGAUGUUGGGUUAAGUCCCGCAACGAGCGCAACCCUCGUCUCUAGUUGCCAGCGAGUAAAGUCGGGCACUCUAGAGAGACUGCCGGCGUCAAGCCGGAGGAAGGUGGGGAUGACGUCAAGUCCUCAUGGCCUUUAUGCCCAGGGCUACACACGUGCUACAAUGGCACCCACAAACCGACGCUAACUCGCGAGAGCACGCUAAUCGGAAAAAAGGUGCCUCAGUUCAGAUUGCAGUCUGCAACUCGACUGCAUGAAGGCGGAAUCGCUAGUAAUCGCGCAUCAGCACGGCGCGGUGAAUACGUUCCCGGGCCUUGUACACACCGCCCGUGGGGCGGGGGCGGC
This 367-nucleotide ribosomal RNA is filed under the name uncultured bacterium. RNAcentral's name for it is "bacterial SSU rRNA". It matches the Rfam family "Bacterial small subunit ribosomal RNA", at positions 1045 to 1411 of the family's 1533-position model. The record is from RNAcentral.